Molecule: unclassified non-coding RNA, 217 nt
Filed under: uncultured Agaricomycetes
Lineage: Eukaryota; Fungi; Basidiomycota; Agaricomycetes
Description: sequence contains ITS2
Source: RNAcentral
AACUCUCAAACCGAUGUCUUUAUUGACGUUCGGGUUUGGAUUUGGACGUUGCUGGACUUAUCAGUUCGGCUCGUCUCGAAUGCAUUAGCUGUAGAUUUCGAUUUCAGUUAAACCGUGUGAUAAUACAUCUACGCGGGCAGCCGUCAAGGCGCUGGAUCGUUAUUCGAAGGCUUCUAAUCGUCCUUUUAGGACCGCCUUUACUGGUGUUUCAUUUCAC